UCGCUCCCGCAGUCCUCACUGACAGGAAGCCAGGAUGCCGAAGGAUGCCCCAGGCCAGAGCUGAUGUGGAUGUCGAUGUCGAUGAUGAUGAUUCUGGGAGGAAGAAAUCGAAAAGAAAUAUUAUUUCAGCGUUUCGUUUUUUUCGCUAUUUACUAUUAUAUUUUUUUUUUUGUAGCUCUUAAGUGCACUUUCAAGGGGUUGUGUAAAUUAUUCAGCUUAAUUCUGGCUGGAUUCUGGCAUUAUUUGCAGACCACCCACCACCCACCAGCCACCAGCCACCACCCUGCCUUGACUCGAUGCGAUUCGCCUUGGGUGCCUUUGUUGUCCUUGCUGGUGCUCAUAUUUCGCUAAUGGCUGCCUGCCUCUGCCUGCCAGGACCACCUCCAUAAUUCUGCUCCUCCUCCUGGUCCUCCUCCUCCUCCUCCUGGUCCUCUUGUUGCUGCUGUUCUUGCGGGUUGGUCGUUGCAUUGCGCACAGGAUGUCAUUAUGGCGCACAACUGCAAUGCCCCUGUCCCGUGGCCCCUGGCCCCUGCCCUCUCGCCAUUCUUUCCUUCAUUCAUAGCCUCCAUUCCGCCAAAUUGAAUUAUAUCGAAUUUGGUAUUUUGCAAUUUGUAUUCCACUCCCAUUCCCACUCCCAUUCCCAUUCCCAUCGAGGCUGCUGCUGCUGCCCAAAGUUAAUGGAUGGCUCGGCGGUAGCAGUGCAGAUUUGAUGGGUUGAUGGGUUCUCGUGGGUGGGAGACUGAUUUGCGCCACAUAUAUAAUGCAAUUAAUUAAAUAUUAACCGCCGACGAGUAAAACUGAUCUCUGGGGCAUGGGUAAUGGGGUUAGGGGUUUGCCCACGAGGGCAAUGCCUCCUUCAAUGUCAGUUUCUAAGGAAACCCUGAGUCUAGGCUUCAUGGGAAACUCUGGCCAAAUCUCACCAUCAAAGCAUGCCAUACUUAAACGUCAUAGCAUAGAAGGCACAUUCAGGCCCAGAAACACACAGUCAAAAUUCUAGUUCCGUUCGGAGCGGACGUGUGAAAAAUCAGAUCCCAGUAAAAAACAAAAAAAAUAAAAUUUUAGUUUUUGUCUCUGUCAGUUCAGUCUUGGGUCUUACAGACAACGCACUGAUCCUGCACCGUCGAGGGAUGUCCCAAAUGCGCAGAGGGCCUCGAUGGAUGCCUUGCGGAUGACCUCCUGGAAGUCAUCAAAAGCGUCGAACUGCGAGUUCCUUCAAGAUUAAUGACGCCUCCUCCUUUUCCAAGACAAAGUCGUUAUCCAUUUGCAACUCGUUCGAAUCCUUAUUGCCAUCGGCCUCAUCAUGAUUCUUGUUGACAUUGUCGUAUUUUGUGGAUGCCACCAUUUGAAGCAUGCGUUCGGUAAUCUUCACGGAACGCGGGGGCCAUAUUCUCAAUCACAACGAACGAUAGUCCGCCCGUUUCAGGUCUGGAUCAGCUGGUCCCAGCGUUGCACUCAAACAGACUGAGAACAAACCGUAACUAUUAUAUGAACAGAAUAGGCCAUGACAAUUUUGCAUUACCGAUCCAUCAGAACUGACAAAUGUGGCACAAGCGCAUCCCCAAGGCUCUCGCAGACAACUUCCAGAGCAGAAGAUGCGACUCAUGCAGUUGGCGAUCGAGGUCAGUGCAUCGAUGCACUCCGUACUACUCCGCCGAACGCGCGAACAAAACUGCAAUGGUGUCUUGUGGAAACAUGUUCGAUUCUUGGCAUCUCCAAAUGUAAGCUGACAGCUCUCACUCAGCCGGCCUUGAUUGUUGCUCCGGCAGUUGCUCCACCAGCAGCUUCUCGCGCAACAGAUAUUGCAUGGGUUUCAUCUUCACCGCUGGGAUUUGCGGGGAUUUUUUAAGCUCGUCCUCGUCUUUGCCCAGGGAUCCGGCGAGUGGAUCCGGCGAGAGCGCGGAGGAAGCUAACGAGAAGUGGGAGCGAAGGCUGACGGAUCGUCGGUACAAGUGCAGCCCUGUCCGGCAUCUCAACGGUGGCCAUCGCAUCGAAAACGAGUGCGCCGAGUCUGGCUUCGAUCGCCCAAGAUACGAUGUAGUUUUGUAUGACUUUGAACCUGACCUGAAACGGGCCUGCCGUUCGUUGUGUAUGCGAAUAUGGUCACUGCGUUCCACUAGAUUUUCGAACGCUUGCUUCAGACAGUUGCAUCCACAGAGCAUGGCAAUGACAACGAGAUUGAUGGUGAUGACGAUGACGAUAACGGUACAAAUGAGUUGCAGGUGGCGACCGACUGUGCCUUUGAGGAGGAGAAGGCCACAUAAGCCUUAAAGGAACUCGCUGUGGGUUCAAGCAAGGUCUUCGCACGCCAGAUCUUGUCAGGGUCUCACCUUCGCCGCUGGCAUUUACUGGUAUUUGUUGAGGUCAUCCUCGUCCUUGACCAGCGAGCGGCGAGUGGAUCCGGCGAGAGCGGGAAGGAAGCUAACGAAUGGUGGGAAGAAGAGGACCGUGCCUGGCUUGUCGAGCAGUAGUCUUGCCAACCCGGCAUGGAGAAGUGCACCAAGUGAGACCGAAGGCUGUCUCAUCUACCAAAGACCAGCUUUGUGGAUUGGUACAACGUAUUUCUGCCAUUGAUCGAUACAACAGAGAAUUUCAUUCACAAAUAUAUACAAAUUAACAGUUGAAAAGUGUAGUAAAUAUAUUCCAAGUGAAACAGUAA
This 2656-nucleotide small RNA is filed under the name Drosophila pseudoobscura pseudoobscura. RNAcentral's name for it is "GA23081". Lineage: Eukaryota; Metazoa; Arthropoda; Insecta; Diptera; Drosophilidae. The record is from RNAcentral.